This 1070-nucleotide long non-coding RNA is filed under the name Dasypus novemcinctus (nine-banded armadillo). RNAcentral's name for it is "lncRNA (ENSDNOG00000050189.1)". Lineage: Eukaryota; Metazoa; Chordata; Mammalia; Cingulata; Dasypodidae. The record is from RNAcentral.
GCUGGAUGUUCAUUUCCUCAUCUCAAAAAACACUAUCACCUGAUGGCCUGGGAUUGCCCUUGGAAAAAUAUCUUGAACCAUCAUCGUGCCACCCACACCAGCAGCAGGAAGUCUAUUCAGCCAUCCUUUGAGUUCCUUUGCAGAGAUAAUACUCAGAUUUUUGGUAUCUGUGUUGUCAGCACAGUUGAUCACCGCUCCUCCCGGAAGACCCAAGGAAAUCUGGAAUUUUGCACCGGAGGAUUCACCACAUCCUCACUUCGACAUCUUGAAUAUCACAAAAGGGCAAAAAGCUGUGAUCAUUUCUACCAGAGACUGGGGAUUGAACCUGAGACCCUUGUAUGUGGGAAGUCGGCACUUAUCCACUGAGCCACAUCAGCUUCCCUGACUUGAUUUUUUUCAUUUGUUUUGCUUGUGUAGUUUUUUUUCAGGAGGCAUUGGGAACUGAACCCUGGACCUCCCAUGUGAGACACAGGUGCUCAACCACUUGAAUCAAAUGCACUCCCUAUGAUUACUUUUUUUUUUUAAGAUUUGUUUUAUUUAUUUCUCUCCCCACCCAGUCUUCUCUCUGUGUCCAUUUGCUGUGUGUUCUUCUGUGUCCGCUUGCGUUCUCAGCAUCAUUGGGAAUCUGUUGCGUCAUCUUGCUGUGUCAGCUCUCCAUGUGUGUGGUGCCACUCCUGGGGAGGUUGGGCUUUUUUCACAGCCUUUUUUCACCCCUGCAGGGUGCACUCCUUGCAUGUGGGGCUCCCCUAUGCAGGGGCACCCUUGCGUGGCAUGGCACUCCUUGCACAUGGCAGCACUGCACAUGGGCCAGCUCACCACAUGGGCCAGGGGCCCUGGGUUUGAACCCUGGACCUCUUAUAUGAUAGGCGGACGCUCUAUCAGUUGAGCUAUGUCUGCUUCCCUUUGAUUACUUAUAAAAGACAUUUCGUGGUAAAUAAACAAACAAGGAAAAUGAUAGGAGAUGGUGUGAGAAGAAGUAGGGACAAGAAAGAAGGUUUUGUAAGGCAGGGGAAACUUGGGACAAUGGAGGCAGUAGUGUCUCCAUGUGUCAGCAAGCCCCUUAGAAACCC